Molecule: ribosomal RNA, 468 nt
Filed under: uncultured bacterium
Lineage: Bacteria
Description: partial 16S ribosomal RNA
Rfam family: Bacterial small subunit ribosomal RNA
Source: RNAcentral
GACGAACGCUGGCGGCGUGCUUAACACAUGCAAGUCGAACGGAAAGGCCCUGCUCUUGUGGGGUGCUCGAGUGGCGAACGGGGGAGUAACACGUGAGUAACCUGCCCUUGACUUUGGGAUAACUUCAGGAAACUGGGGCUAAUACCGGAUAGGAGCUACUGCUGCAUGGUGGGGGUUGGAAAGUGUCGGCGGUUGUGGAUGGACUCGCGGCUUAUGAGCUUGUUGGUGGGGUAGUGGCUUACCAAGGCUACGACGGGUAGGCGGCCUAGGAGGGUGGACGGCGUCCAUGCGACUGAGGGACGGACCAGACUCCUACGGGAGGCAGCAGUGGGGAGUAUUGCACAAUGAGCGGAAGCCUGAUGCAGCAACGCCGCGUGCGUGAUGCCGUCUUACGGGUUGUAAACCGCUUUCGCAUGUGACGAAGCGUGAGUGACGGUAAUGGGUAAAGAAGCACCGGCUAACUACGUG